RNAcentral lists this non-coding RNA (221 nucleotides) under Bacillus sp. (in: firmicutes). RNAcentral describes it as "Bacillus sp. T-box sequence". It matches the Rfam family "T-box leader". From Rfam's summary of the family: Uncharged tRNA acts as the effector for transcription antitermination of genes in the T-box leader family. T-boxes are found upstream of many aminoacyl-tRNA synthetase genes and some amino acid biosynthetic genes usually in Gram-positive bacteria. The anticodon of a specific tRNA base pairs to a specifier sequence within the T-box motif, and the NCCA acceptor tail of the tRNA base pairs to a conserved bulge in the T-box antiterminator hairpin. Lineage: Bacteria; Bacillati; Bacillota; Bacilli; Caryophanales; Bacillaceae. The record is from RNAcentral.
UGACAAUCGAUGAUCGGGAGAGUAAUUAUGGGAUUCCAGCCCUCAGCGAGCCGGGUAAGUGAAAGCCGGUGCGGAACUUAUAAUGAAGCGCACCCGUGAGAUGGACUUCUGAACAUAACAAUAGGAAGUCCCGGCAGAAGGCCGUUAACCUGUGAGGUGGCUGGACCGUAGGUCCGGCAACAAGAGUGGUACCGCGAGCGCUAACAGCCCUCGUCUCUUUU